This 464-nucleotide ribosomal RNA is filed under the name uncultured bacterium. Its description in RNAcentral is "partial 16S ribosomal RNA". It matches the Rfam family "Bacterial small subunit ribosomal RNA", at positions 28 to 507 of the family's 1533-position model. The record is from RNAcentral.
GACGAACGCUGGCGGCGUGCUUAACACAUGCAAGUCGAACGGUAAGGCCCCAGCUUUCUGGGGUACACGAGUGGCGAACGGGUGAGUAACACGUGGGUGACCUGCCCCGCACUUCGGGAUAAGCCUGGGAAACUGGGUCUAAUACCGGAUACGAACGCCCCGUGCAGGAGUGGUGGGAAGUUUGUCGGUGUUGGCUGGGCCCGCGGCCUAUCCGCCUGUUGGUGGGGUAAUGGCCUACCAAGGCGGCGACGGGUAGCCGGCCUGAGAGGGUGGACGGCCACAUUGGGACUGAGACACGGCCCAGACUCCUACGGGAGGCAGCAGUGGGGAAUAUUGCACAAUGGGCGGAAGCCUGAUGCAGCGACGCCGCGUGGGGGAUGACGGCCGUCGGGUUGUAAACUCCUUUCGCCAUCGACGAAGGUUUUCUGACGGUAGAUGGAGAAGAAGCACCGGCUAACUACGUG